AACGCACCUUGCGCUCCUUGGUAUUCCGAGGAGCAUGCCUGUUUGAGUGUCAUGGUAUUCUCAACCUUCAAAACUUUUGUGAUGAAGGCUUGGAUUUGGAGGUCGUGUCGGCGCGAGUCGACUCCUCUGAAAUGCAUUAGCGUGAAUCUUACGGAUCGCCUUCAGUGUGAUAAUUGUCUACGCUGUGGUGUUGAAGUAUUUGAGUGUUCGUGCUUACAAUCGUCCGCGAGGACAAUGUUACUUGACAAUCUGACCUCAAAUCAGGUAGGACUACCCGCUGAACUUAA
This 287-nucleotide unclassified non-coding RNA is filed under the name uncultured fungus. RNAcentral describes it as "partial contains 5.8S ribosomal RNA, internal transcribed spacer 2, and large subunit ribosomal RNA". The stretch from base 1 to 52 matches the Rfam family "5.8S ribosomal RNA", at positions 103 to 154 of the family's 154-position model. The record is from RNAcentral. Lineage: Eukaryota; Fungi.